GAAACACAUUUGGCAACAGAUGACCACGCAGCUUAUGAUUGGUGGAUGGAAUGGCCAUGUGACCUGAGACAGUCAGGAAACAGGAAAUGCCUGAAAUGCUACAGAUAGACAAUCAUACAUUAUUCACCAACAUGAGGAGUGCCUGCGGACAUCAUCUGUUUGCCCGGUUAGAAGUAUCCAUCUGUGCGUGCUGUAACCCAUCUGUGAUGAAAUCAUUUACUUUUCCACCUUGACCACUUAUUAAGCUUACUGCGGGGUUCGUUCUCCCAAAAUGCAGACGGACCAUUCCAGACAAAGCGUGCAGCGAUCGGUGGAGCGACGAAGGACUUCACCCGAUCAUCGAUGCGGUCGGCGGAUAGCGUCGGAUAGCGCGCUGCUAUCCAAGUCAAAGUCCUCCUGGUUGUGUUGCUGCAGCCAGUCGCUAAUACAUCGAUCCCAC
Entelurus aequoreus (snake pipefish) is the source of this 439-nucleotide long non-coding RNA. RefSeq lists it as uncharacterized. The record is from RefSeq and is a predicted model, not a curated record. The transcript has 4 exons. NCBI's taxonomy places the organism in Eukaryota, Metazoa, Chordata, Actinopteri, Syngnathiformes, Syngnathidae.